RNAcentral lists this ribosomal RNA (460 nucleotides) under uncultured bacterium. Its description in RNAcentral is "partial 16S ribosomal RNA". It matches the Rfam family "Bacterial small subunit ribosomal RNA", at positions 338 to 795 of the family's 1533-position model. The record is from RNAcentral.
CCUACGGGUGGCAGCAGUGAGGAAUAUUGGUCAAUGGAGGAAACUCUGAACCAGCCAAGUCGCGUGAAGGAUGACGGCCCUACGGGUUGUAAACUGCUUUUAUCGGGGGGUAAAGCGAGUCACGUGUGACUUAUUGAGGGUACCCGAUGAAAAAGCAUCGGCUAAUUCCGUGCCAGCAGCCGCGGUAAUACGGAGGAUUCGGGCGUUAUCCGGAUUUAUUGGGUUUAAAGGGAGCGCAGGCCGGACGUUAAGCUGGUGGUUAAAUGCCGGGGGUCAACCGCGGCACUGCCUGGGAAACGGGAUGCAUUGAGUGCGCGAGAGGUAGGCGGAAUGCGUGGUGUAGCGGUGAAAUGCAUAGAUAUCACGAAGAACUCCGAUUGCGAAGGCAGCAUACCGGAGCGUAACUGACGCUGAUGCACGAAAGCGUGGGUAUCGAACAGGAUUAGAUACCCCGGUAGUC